AGUGAACGCUGGCGGUAGGCCUAACACAUGCAAGUCGAACGGCAGCACAGUAAGAGCUUGCUCUUACGGGUGGCGAGUGGCGGACGGGUGGGGAAUACAUCGGAAUCUACUUUUUCGUGGGGGAUAACGUAGGGAAACUUACGCUAAUACCGCAUACGACCUACGGGUGAAAGCAGGGGAUCUUCGGACCUUGCGCGAUUGAAUGAGCCGAUGUCGGAUUAGCUAGUUGGCGGGGUAAAGGCCCACCAAGGCGACGAUCCGUAGCUGGUCUGAGAGGAUGAUCAGCCACACUGGAACUGAGACACGGUCCAGACUCCUACGGGAGGCAGCAGUGGGGAAUAUUGGACAAAGGGCGCAAGCCUGAUCCGGCCAUACCGCGUGGGUGAAGAAGGCCUUCGGGUUGUAAAGCCCUUUUGUUGGGAAAGAAAAGCAGCAGGUUAAUACCCCGCUGUUCUGACGGUACCCAAAGAAUAAGCACCGGCUAACUUCGUG
RNAcentral lists this ribosomal RNA (492 nucleotides) under uncultured bacterium. RNAcentral describes it as "partial 16S ribosomal RNA". It matches the Rfam family "Bacterial small subunit ribosomal RNA", at positions 29 to 507 of the family's 1533-position model. The record is from RNAcentral.